GACGAACGCUGGCGGCGUGCCUAAUACAUGCAAGUCGAGCGGAUGAAAGAGGAGCUUGCUCCUCUAGAUUCAGCGGCGGACGGGUGAGUAACACGUGGGCAACCUGCCCUGUAGAUUGGGAUAACUCCGGGAAACCGGGGCUAAUACCGAAUAAUCCUUCGGACCUCAUGGUCCGAUGUUGAAAGACGGUUUCGGCUGUCACUACAGGAUGGGCCCGCGGCGCAUUAGCUAGUUGGUGAGGUAACGGCUCACCAAGGCCACGAUGCGUAGCCGACCUGAGAGGGUGAUCGGCCACAAUGGGACUGAGACAAGGCCCAGACUCCUACGGGAGGCAGCAGUAGGGAAUCUUCCACAAUGGACGAAAGUCUGAUGGAGCAACGCCGCGUGAGUGAAGAAGGUUCUCGGAUCGUAAAACUCUGUUGUGAGGGAAGAACAAGUACCGGAGUAACUGCCGGUGCCUUGACGGUACCUCAUUAGAAAGCCACGGCUAACUACGUGCCAGCAGCCGCCGUAA
This 514-nucleotide ribosomal RNA is filed under the name uncultured bacterium. RNAcentral's name for it is "partial 16S ribosomal RNA". It matches the Rfam family "Bacterial small subunit ribosomal RNA", at positions 28 to 523 of the family's 1533-position model. The record is from RNAcentral.